Manihot esculenta (cassava) is the source of this 1637-nucleotide long non-coding RNA. RefSeq lists it as uncharacterized. The record is from RefSeq and is a predicted model, not a curated record. Lineage: Eukaryota; Viridiplantae; Streptophyta; Magnoliopsida; Malpighiales; Euphorbiaceae. The transcript has 4 exons.
GCUCCAAUAUUACCAAAAAAAAUAAAAAGAAAAUCUUCUCAUAAAAAAUAACAAAAAUAGCAUCCAUUUUAGAAAGACAAAAAGAAAGUUGGAAAAGAGACUUAGGGUUCUCAACGAAAUACUCAUAAAUUUAUGCUUUUAUUCUGAAUCUUCAAACAAAAAAUCAAUAGCAGACACUGGGUACCCGAUCUGCAAAUUUUUCUACCACAAAUCUGCUAGCAAAAGCUCGACAAAAUCCGUGUGAUUAGGUUGCAGGUCGACGGUUCUGCGUGCUUCCGAAGACAGGAAAUUUAAAAGAACUGAUUUUGGUACAGUAGUAUUCACUGAAAUUAACCUAAUUAGCGGAAUGGAGUAGACCAGCUUUUUAUUUCAACAAGUUUCAAAGGAUAACUAUCUGAACACCCUUUUAGAGGGUCUUUACACUGGAGCAUGCAAUAAAAGAGAUUGUCAAAUAUGAACAUGGAAUCUUGCAGCCAUUUUGUUGAAGCUUCUUUAUUAUUUAAGGACUUGGACUUCAUAUUUGCUCUGGUAUGAUACUGAACUGUCCUCCUAGCAAUGCCCUCAACUUUUUCAUGGAUGCAUUAUUUGUUCCACUAAAUGCCUGAGAAAUUAUAUAGGAUACUUAAUUGGUUUAAGUUUCAAGGUUUUUAUGGUAAUAUACCUUAAUUUGAAUUUACUAUUUUAGCACUAAUUAGCAAUUUUGAUCAAUUUAUGCAGAAACAUUUUUUUGCCUAGAAUUUUCAUGCUUCUCUUUUCUAGGCAAAAAAAAUGUUUACUAGAAUUUUCAUAUCUUGGAUUUUAGUAAAUUUACCACUGAUAGAUUAUACAGAUAAGAGGAAGUAGUUGUUUUGAUAAACCAAGAUAUAAGGGAUAUCUAGGAGUGAAGCAAGUGCAUUGGGCAGUUGUUUGCACUUGCAGCAAGUGCAAGCAAGGCUGAGCACUUGCAGCAUUUCAGCAAGUGCUAGCAAGUGUGCACUUGCUUGUACUUGCUGCACUGCUAGCAAGUGCAGCUGUACACUUGUUGCACUUAUUGCUUUGGGCACUUGUUGCACAGAAUUUUAGAUCUAAUUUCAUCUUUUAUUGUAUUUGGGUUGAAUACAAUAUAGAAAUUAUUAAGAUGAUUCCAAUAAUCUACUUCAAAUUUGAGUUGAUAGAUUGAACAAGCAUGUGUUUUGAAUAUUAUAUUCGCAUAGUGGGUUGUAUUGAUAUUUAGGUUCUUUGUUGAGAUUUGAGCCACUUUUUAAACCUAGUGAUGCUAUUAAGUGGUAUAAUCAUAUAAGUCAUAUUGAAAUGAAUAAAAAAUUAAAUAAAUUUAAUCUAAAUAAAUAAUAUGCUAUUUAUGCUUUGUGUGUACUUUUUAUGUUUUUUUUUCCCUUCUUUUGGAACAUUCUAAAUUUUAUAUGUUGUUAUUUAUCUGAGGUGUACGAAUAAAUCAGCCAUACAUUAAUCUUUCAUUUGGAUAUGAAGUUCGUUUAUACUCUUUUUGGAAUGAACUUUAUCUAUUGGAUAUAUGUAAUUAAGAUUUUUUUUCAUUUUAUUUAGAGCUAAUUUACAUUGAUUGUAUAAGAGAAUGUUUUUGGAUUAGACAUCGUAUAACAAAUAUUUUUUAAUUGAUAUAUAUAGAAAUUGUUUCAUUA